This 325-nucleotide long non-coding RNA is filed under the name Olea europaea (common olive). Its description in RNAcentral is "long non-coding RNA (OEUR_LNC003402)". The record is from RNAcentral. Lineage: Eukaryota; Viridiplantae; Streptophyta; Magnoliopsida; Lamiales; Oleaceae.
UAAUGUUUGCGGCUUCGAUUUAUGCUAUUUGGCGUGAAUGUAAUGCUAGGACCCAUGGGGAGGCUCCUAAAAAUGAGUCUAUUGUUAUUCAAGAUAUUGUUUUUACUAUUUGUGCACGAGUGAACUUGUACAGUAGCUUGGUUCCAUCUAAUGAAAAUAGAUGGCUCCAACGCUCUUGGGGAUUUUCUACAGAUAUUUUUUGUUCUCGUGAUUAGGAUAUGAGCACUUUCUAGAAUUUUGCUAUUGUUGUUAGGAAGACAUUAAUUCCUAGCAUUGUUUUCUGGGAUAUGCCCCUGUGAUUUGUACUUAUUUUUAUACUUUGGAU